GCUCCGGUAGUAUAGUCCGGUCAAACUUGAAAAAGGACCAUGUAUAGCGGCCUCUCGAGUCGCGGACCCGGGUUCAAAUCCCGGCCGGAGCACCA
This 95-nucleotide transfer RNA is filed under the name Candidatus Bathyarchaeota archaeon CG07_land_8_20_14_0_80_47_9. Its description in RNAcentral is "tRNA-Glu". It matches the Rfam family "tRNA". From Rfam's summary of the family: Transfer RNA (tRNA) molecules are approximately 80 nucleotides in length. Their secondary structure includes four short double-helical elements and three loops (D, anti-codon, and T loops). Lineage: Archaea; Thermoproteati; Candidatus Bathyarchaeota. The record is from RNAcentral.